GUGGUACCAGCAUCAGCCUUCUGCCUGCCCUGUCCUUGGCUGCUCCAGACCCAGGGCAGAGAAGCAGCUCCCAGCCCUCACCAGCCAUCUGCUCAGCCCCUGCCACCCUGACCCCCAGGUCCCCACACGCCAGCCGUACCCCCAGCUCCCCACUCCAGAGCUGCACUCCCAGUCUCUCACCCCGUAGCCAUGUCCCCAGUCCACACCAGGCUCUUGUGACCAGGCCCCAGAAACCUAGCCUGGAGUUCAAGGAGUUUGUAGGGUUGCCCUGCAAGAAUCGGCCGCCUUUUCCCAGGACCGGAGCUACCAGGGGAGCCCAGGAGCCCUGCUCUGUCUGGGUGAGCAUAGCCCCUCUGCAGCUGGAGGGUAGAACAAGGAAGGCCUGAGGUAGAGCUGGGAGGGAGCAUGGGUAGCCUUGGAUGGGGUUGGGGUCCUUGUUAGCUCUUCCCCAGACACCAUACCCCUUUCAGGAACCCCCAAAGAGGCAUCGUGAUGGUUCUGCCUUCCAGUAUGAGUAUGAGCCACCCUGCACGUCCCUCUGUGCUCGGGUCCAAGCUGUCAGGCUUCCUCCCCAGCUCAUGGCCUGGGCCUUGCACUUUCUGAUGGAUGCACAGCCAGGGUCUGAGCCAACUCCGAUGUGAGACGUCACGCAGGACAGAUACCGCUCCACACUCUGCUUCCUUUGAGUUUUUUAAUAAAAUAAUCUCAUGCGGC
RNAcentral lists this long non-coding RNA (714 nucleotides) under Homo sapiens (human). RNAcentral describes it as "non-protein coding lnc-ENKD1-1:4". The record is from RNAcentral. Lineage: Eukaryota; Metazoa; Chordata; Mammalia; Primates; Hominidae.